GCGGAGGAAAAGAAACCAACAGGGAUUGCCCUAGUAACGGCGAGUGAAGCGGCAACAGCUCAAAUUUGAAAUCUGGCGUCUUUGGCGUCCGAGUUGUAAUUUGCAGAGGGCGCUUUGGCAUUGGCAGCGGUCCAAGUUCCUUGGAACAGGACGUCACAGAGGGUGAGAAUCCCGUACGUGGUCGCUAGCCUUUACCGUGUAAAGCCCCUUCGACGAGUCGAGUUGUUUGGGAAUGCAGCUCUAAAUGGGAGGUAAAUUUCUUCUAAAGCUAAAUACUGGCCAGAGACCGAUAGCGCACAAGUAGAGUGAUCGAAAGAUGAAAAGCACUUUGGAAAGAGAGUUAAAAAGCACGUGAAAUUGUUGAAAGGGAAGCGCUUGCAGCCAGACUUGCCUGUAGUUGCUCAUCCGGGUUUCUACCCGGUGCACUCUUCUACGGGCAGGCCAGCAUCAGUUUGGGCGGUUGGAUAAAGGUCUCUGUCAUGUACCUCCUCUCGGGGAGAACUUAUAGGGGAGACGACAUGCAACCAGCCCGGACUGAGGUCCGCGCAUCUGCUAGGAUGCUGGCGUAAUGGCUGUAAGCGGCCCGUCUUGAAACACGGACCAAGGAGUCUAACAUCUAUGCGAGUGUUUGGGUGUCAAGCCCGAGCGCGUAAUGAAAGUGAACGGAGGUGGGAACCUUUCGGGGUGCACCAUCGACCGAUCCUGAUGUCUUCGGAUGGAUUUGAGUAAGAGCAUAGCUGUUGGGACCCGAAAGAUGGUGAACUAUGCUUGAAUAGGGUGAAGCCAGAGGAAACUCUGGUGGAGGCUCGCAGCGGUUCUGACGUGCAAAUCGAUCGUCAAAUUUGG
Molecule: non-coding RNA, 846 nt
Filed under: Epicoccum sorghinum
Lineage: Eukaryota; Fungi; Ascomycota; Dothideomycetes; Pleosporales; Didymellaceae
Also listed under: 1 other name
Description: eukaryotic LSU rRNA
Rfam family: Eukaryotic large subunit ribosomal RNA
Source: RNAcentral